RNAcentral lists this ribosomal RNA (497 nucleotides) under uncultured bacterium. RNAcentral's name for it is "partial 16S ribosomal RNA". It matches the Rfam family "Bacterial small subunit ribosomal RNA", at positions 28 to 507 of the family's 1533-position model. The record is from RNAcentral.
GACGAACGCUGGCGGCGUGCCUAAUACAUGCAAGUUGAGCGCUGAAGGUUGGUACUUGUACCAACUGGAUGAGCAGCGAACGGGUGAGUAACGGGUGGGGAAUCUGCCUUUGAGCGGGGGACAACAUUUGGAAACGAAUGCUAAUACCGCAUAAAAACUUUAAACACAAGUUUUAAGUUUGAAAGAUGCAAUUGCAUCACUCAAAGAUGAUCCCGCGUUGUAUUAGCUAGUUGGUGAGGUAAAGGCUCACCAAGGCGAUGAUACAUAGCCGACCUGAGAGGGUGAUCGGCCACAUUGGGACUGAGACACGGCCCAAACUCCUACGGGAGGCAGCAGUAGGGAAUCUUCGGCAAUGGACGAAAGUCUGACCGAGCAACGCCGCGUGAGUGAAGAAGGGUUUCGGAUCGUAAAACUCUGUUGGUAGAGAAGAACGUUGGUGAGAGUGGAAAGCUCAUCAAGUGACGGUAACUACCCAGAAAGGGACGGCUAACUACGUG